UGAGAAGCUGUCCUUCUCAAUCACAGCAGAAUGAUGGAGGUUCAUGCUCUUGAAAAGGCAAAACAGAGGGUCUUUGGAAGCUCAGAGAUAUUUGAGGGAAGAACAACUUUCUAGAAACAGGGGAAUUAUUUUAAAAUAUGUUAAUUGAAUGCUGAGGUCACUAGUCCCCUUUCUCUACUUUCCAAAUUUUACACCCACACAAGUGCACCUGCUGGGUGGCGGGUGGGGGUGGCGACUCUAAACUCUGACCAAAGGUUGACAACAGGGGAUCAACGUUUGAGGCUUAAAAUGACCACAAAUGAUGAAAAUCAUUAUGUCCAUGUGAUGAAUUGAUUCCACAAUCACUAAGAAUUAGUCUUCUUUAUUCCUGGAUAGAAUUGUAUUAUCUUUAUUCAGAGAAUAGAAGUACUAUUAUCAUCUCUGAAAUUACUUUGGCUGAAAUAAAUACAGCCACUCCAGCUAUAUUUUCGUUUGCAUUAUCAUGGUAUACUUUUCCCUGUGGAUUUUCAUGGAAAAUUUGAUUUAAUUUUUUUGCAAGUAGCAUAUCAUUGAGUCUUACUUUUUAAUUCGACUAUUUUUUCCUUUAAUUUCAGUGUUUCAACUGCUUACAUUUAAUAUAAUUAUUGAUAUAGUUAUCUUUGUCUGUCAUAUUUAUUUUCCAUUUUUCCCAUCUACUGUUUGUCUUUUUCCUCCUUUACUACCUUCUGUGUUUGCUUAUUUUAGUAUCUGCUUUAGGAUAUAUAGUAGUAUACAUCACAGACACACUUCAAGUUAUAUAUUGCCCCUUCAUAUAGUACAAAAACCUCACAACAGUGUUAUUUAUUUUCUCCUGGCCUUUAUUCCAUUCUUGUUAUACACUUUAAUUUUACCUACCUUAUAAACUCUGUGCUAUAAUUUAUUGCUUUAUUUCUAAACAAUCCAUUAUUCGAAGGAGAGAUAUAAAUAACAUUUUAAAAUAAUUUUACAUAUUUGUACAUGUGGUUACCAUUUCUAGUGCUUUCAAUUGAUUUGGUUGAUACAUCCUCCUGAUAUCAUUUUAUUUUUGCCAGAAGAAGUUUUAUUAACAUUUCUUGAACCCAACUGAGUCGGAGACCAGAGUGGCUCUGUCUGUCACACUUGGAGAAACUAUUAAGGGCUAUUCAUACCUGCUCACUUCCUCAACUGCUCUGUAAAUUGAAUAACCAAGCCAGAGAGUCAGAGUCCAGUUGUCAUGUCAGGACUACUUGUAUCUCUCUUCUUUAUAAUGAGUGGGAAUUUGGGACUAAUUCGCUUUAACACUUGGUGUGUUUUACACAUUGACAAAUCACAGGAAAAUGCUUUUCUAAAAUAUUUAAACUUUAUGAACACUGAUUUCUAAAUAAAAAAUACCUGAAACUUUUUCUUUAAAUUAUUUCUUAUAUUUUAUGUAGUGGCUUGAAAUAGAUCAAAGGAAGGAUGCUAGAUGUAGAUAUUUUAUAAAUUUUAACAGUACAGGAAAUUGGACUCUUUAUUUCCAUUUGAAUCCAUAUUUUGUGAAAACCCUCCACCUAGAAAGACCUCCCAAGUUUCAUCUGUCCCUCUGUCUUGGCCAACUUGUUCUUUCUCUGUCUCUUCCCCUGCCUUGAGCUCCGAGGUGCUUCCUGGACUGGCUGGGCCCCUUGCUCCUCACUGCACAUCUUAAUAUUUCUCUUCCUCCUUGUGCUCUCUCCAACCACUGCAGCAAAUAGUGCCUAUGCUGCCUCUGUUUUGCAUUCUAUUCAGCUUAGCUUCUAUUUAUUUGCUACUUGAACUACUCACUAAUUGUGCAUAAAGUGUACACUUUGCAACUCAAUAGGCUAUCAAUGGCUGUGUUCCCCCGUCGUGCCCCAGCACCCACCUGGUGAGGAGGAGGAAGGGAAGAUAAGGAGCUAACCCAGUGGGAGUUUCAGCAAGAAGCAGGCAUCUGGCAAAGGUGUAUCUUUCACCUGAAGUUCCCGGGGAAAGUUCAAAGCAGGAGUAAACAGAGAAUGGAGCACCAGGUAUGGUGCAGAGGAGAGCUGGCUGUGCUGAAGGGGCCAGACACAGGGGCCACCGGAAUAGAAGCUUCUCAAAGGUGGCAAAGAUGCUUUUUAUGCUUGUUGCCACCACCCAGAAUGAUGUUAACCAUGAGGUACGUGCUCAGUGAAAGGGUGUGGAGUGAAUGAAUGAGUGACAGUACAUUUUUUGGAAGCAGGCACUAUAAUAAUUAUUUCUUCUGUACCUCCUUUUCCUAACUGAUCUCUGCCUCUCCAAGGCUAAGAAUAGUGCUAGUCAUAGACAGUAAUUUACUUAUGCAGGUCCUUGACCUCUCCAUCAUCUCUUAGCCUUAGAUGGAAAAUCAUACAAGAGAAUGAAGCUCCUGGAGAAGAAAUGGUGAGAGAAGACCUCCAGGAUCUUCAGAAAUGUUGAGACACAGGGAUGUGGUGAAAAGAACAUGGGGGAAGAGCAUGGGCAUGGUGGUGGGGGUCAGAGCAGGACUUGGUGAAUACAACUCAUGGAGUGCUUGAUCUGUUGAUCUGUGCCAGGCAGUGGGCUAGAUUGUAAAAAUAAGACCAAUGAUAAAAAUUGAUAUAUACAUAUAUAUAUAUAUAAAAUAUAUACGUAUAUAUAUAGAGAGAGAGACAAUGACUGAUAUAUAAUCAAUAGAUGAUGGAUAGAUAAAUAGACAUAAGUAGAUAGAUAGCUUUAAUUCUUACUGUGCCACUUAAUAUCUAUAGAAACUUGCAUGAGUUAUAAUAACAAUUUAAGCCUCCAUUUCUAGAUAAAAUUAAGUUACUUAAAUGCUUAACUCAUAGGGUUUCUGUGAUAACUAAAUAAUAAAUCUUGCAUAUAUAUGCAUGUGUAUGUCGGUGUGAGUACGAAUAUAUAUACAGAGAGAGAAACAGACAGACAGAGACAAGGACAAAGAGACAGAGAAGAGAGAGCCAGAGAGAUUGGAGGGCACACAGGUGAGCUUGGUACCAAAUAGAUCAUUUUGCCUUCCUUUUCUUCUCAACUCCUGAAAUACUCUGUUUCUGAAAUACAAUGCAGUGAUAACUACUGUUUAUCCUUUUUUAUUUUUUUUGUCAUGUAAGUCCAAGAUUCCUUUAUAGAAAACUCUCAACCUAUGGCAUCAAUUUUGGACCAAGACGUGGCCAUCUGCCUUCCUAAAUGCCCCUAAAUGACAGCUGAGCUCCUCAAUAGCCUUCAUUGCUCCUGAUCUUUCACCCCUGCAGGGAAGCGUCUGGCAGCACACUCAAUGUCCAAUGCCCACUGGGCUGACCCAGAAGCAAAUUUUGUGUCAGCUCCUCCAGCCCACCAUGGAUCAUCCUGGGAGCUGUCUUCAGAUGGUAAUUAUUCUCAGCUGAAGCCAUGGCCCCAUUAAAGACAGAACACUGGAGAUGAAAAGUCCCAGAUUCCAUUAGCAGUCUCUACUUCAGACAUGAACUAUGGGACUUGAUGCCUCUGAUGUGUCUCUUCAUGUUGCUUCCACAGGCUUAAUGAUGCCUUUAGCAUCUCUCACCUGAAAGUAUCGCUCAUUAUGUCACUGAGAUGCACGGCCAUAUUUCAGUUAAUUAAGUUCAUUUGCUAGUUUAUAAAGGAAACACAAUUAAUAAAAUAAGUCAAGCAUGUCUUACUUUUUUCAGGUCAACAUUGAAAUGAGAACUAUUUUGACUAAUCUGCUCGGAAUAAAAUGAGAAAAACAGUUCAUGCUGAACUACUCAUAUGUGGAGGUGAUGAACAUAUGUUUCUAAUUUUGAGCUGAGAGAAAAGCAAAAAUAAACAAAUUUAACAAAUCUUAGUUCUUGACAACCACUCACAGAAUAGUUCAGCUAAGAAAUAAACAUAUGGUUCAGGGAAUAAAGAAACUGCCUGGCUCGGUGUGGAAAUGACACUUCUAGACUCAGAGUUUCAUGACUGCAGUGAGCUCAUUUCUUCUGUAAUUAGGGUCAAGACUUGAACUUUUCCUGUGGAUUUUCCCAUCAGAAGACUGGUGCCAUUUAUCCAUUUAGGUGAGCACUAUAAGGACAUUGCUUCAUAUCACGCUUCAAGAGUGAUGAGUUUCACAAGGAGAUUGCAUGUCUCCUCAGAGCUGGCCCGUCUGUAUGUGAUCAGGUGGGAGAAUUUGCUUCAGUAAGUGGAGUGUGAUGGGACAGGGGUGUUAAGUGCCCCCUGAGGAAGUGUUGGCUCUAAGAAGAGAAGAAGUUUGGCCAUGAUGAUGCUUGGCCUCUUUUCCAGCCAUGUCUCAGUCAACCCUAGCUGCUGGGAAAAUUAUCACCGACUGGUAAACAGCAAACAUUUAUUUCUCGCAGUUCCGGAGACUGGAAGUCUGAGAUCAGAGUGCCAGCGUGGUCAGCUUCUGGUGAAGCCCCUCUUGUGCCCCACAUGGCAGUGAGAAAGUGAGCUGGCUCCAGGUCCUCUUUUCGUAAGGGCACUCAUCCACUUAUGAGGCUCCACUCUCAUGACCUAAUUACCUCCCAAAGGCCCCACCUCCAAGUAUGAUCACAUGGGGGACUCGAUUUCAACAUAUGAGUUUUGGGGGACACAAACUUUUAGUCUGCAACAAGACAGGAUUGUCUUACUAUGAUCAGACUGUGGGUGAUUUACUUCGUUUCUUGACACAUCUGUUUUUAUUCUUAAGCCUGUAUACAUAGAUAGUACUUACUGUUUUACAAGAAUCCAGUUUUUCCUUGCAUGGUAAUUUAUUUUUAAAAGCACUGUUUUAAGGUUUCUGUGAUGAGCUAAAGGCAUCUAACUGAAUCCAGAAUAUACUGUCAACUUUAGUGUCUCAGGUCGUGUAUUGUGAAGGAAAAGGUGCCACACGCUUGACACUGGUCUUGGUGCAACCUCAAUCGCAACAUGUGAAUCCCAAGGGAGUUUCUUCCUCUCCAAAAGCCUCUGCUUCCCCAUCUUUUUUUUUUUUUUUUUCUGAGACAGAGUCUCGCUGUGUCACCCAGGCUGGAGUGCAGUGGCGCAAUCUCGUCUUGCUGCAACCUCCAUCUCCUAGGUUCAAGUGAUUCUCCUGCCUCAGCCUCCUGAGUAGAUGGGGUUACAGGUGCGUGCCACCAUGC
This 5048-nucleotide long non-coding RNA is filed under the name Homo sapiens (human). Its description in RNAcentral is "HSALNT0084198". Lineage: Eukaryota; Metazoa; Chordata; Mammalia; Primates; Hominidae. The record is from RNAcentral.